GCAUCCCCGGCCCCAUCGGAGCGGAACUCCGUGAGCCUUUCUACCUCGCGAGUGCCCGGGAGUGCGUCUUGCUGUCUGACUUAAAUCCUCGCUGCUUUAGAGCACGCCCCUUCGGCAGCCAGGGUGGGGCCCAAACCGAACCUGGCCCUCCCGCCCCCAUCUGCCUUUCGGUCGCUGCACACAGGGCCAGAAGAGGCAGACAGGCCUCCCUCGAUGUCCAGCCAUGAUGCAGCCCCCUCAGGACCUCCCAGUCGAAAUCCCUGCUGCUUGUGCUGGUGCUGCUGCUGUAGCUGUUCCUGGAACCAAGAACGGCAACGAGCUUGGCAGGUUUCCCGGGAAAGCAAGCUGCAACCCCUCCCCAGCUGUGAAGUCUGCACUCCACCAAGCCCUGAGGAAGUACAGAGCUGGGCACAGUCCUUUGACAAGUUGAUGCAUAGCCCCACGGGCCGCAGUGUAUUCCGGGCAUUCCUGCGCACAGAAUACAGUGAGGAGAACAUGCUCUUCUGGCUGGCUUGUGAGGAGUUGAAAACAGAGGCUGACCGACAUGUGGUACAUGGUGCCUCAGACCACCACCCUCCAGUCGUGUGCCCAGGAGAUGUUCUCAUGGAGAACAUCCUGUAUAGCAACAAGUUUGUAGCAGGAGAACGUUAAUUCCUCAGAAGCAGAUAUAGAACCUCAGAGUCAGACUCAAAUGAAGAGCCCAUUUAUAUUUUAUAUAUUAACUUUAAAGUUGUCCAUACUGUAUGUUUUAUCAAAAGAAAAAAAGAGACCUUUC
RNAcentral lists this long non-coding RNA (775 nucleotides) under Rattus norvegicus (Norway rat). Its description in RNAcentral is "long non-coding RNA NONRATT020068". Lineage: Eukaryota; Metazoa; Chordata; Mammalia; Rodentia; Muridae. The record is from RNAcentral.